AGAGUUUGAUCAUGGCUCAGGACGAACGCUGGCGGCGUGCUUAACACAUGCAAGUCGAACGAUGAUCUCCAGCUUGCUGGGGGGAUUAGUGGCGAACGGGUGAGUAACACGUGAGUAACCUGCCCUUAACUCUGGGAUAAGCCUGGGAAACUGGGUCUAAUACCGGAUAUGACUCCUCAUCGCAUGGUGGGGGGUGGAAAGCUUUUGUGGUUUUGGAUGGACUCGCGGCCUAUCAGCUUGUUGGUGAGGUAAUGGCUCACCAAGGCGACGACGGGUAGCCGGCCUGAGAGGGUGACCGGCCACACUGGGACUGAGACACGGCCCAGACUCCUACGGGAGGCAGCAGUGGGGAAUAUUGCACAAUGGGCGCAAGCCUGAUGCAGCGACGCCGCGUGAGGGAUGACGGCCUUCGGGUUGUAAACCUCUUUCAGUAGGGAAGAAGCGAAAGUGACGGUACCUGCAGAAGAAGCGCCGGCUAACUACGUGCCAGCAGCCGCGGUAAUACGUAGGGCGCAAGCGUUAUCCGGAAUUAUUGGGCGUAAAGAGCUCGUAGGCGGUUUGUCGCGUCUGCCGUGAAAGUCCGGGGCUCAACUCCGGAUCUGCGGUGGGUACGGGCAGACUAGAGUGAUGUAGGGGAGACUGGAAUUCCUGGUGUAGCGGUGAAAUGCGCAGAUAUCAGGAGGAACACCGAUGGCGAAGGCAGGUCUCUGGGCAUUAACUGACGCUGAGGAGCGAAAGCAUGGGGAGCGAACAGGAUUAGAUACCCUGGUAGUCCAUGCCGUAAACGUUGGGCACUAGGUGUGGGGGACAUUCCACGUUUUCCGCGCCGUAGCUAACGCAUUAAGUGCCCCGCCUGGGGAGUACGGCCGCAAGGCUAAAACUCAAAGGAAUUGACGGGGCCCGCACAAGCGGCGGAGCAUGCGGAUUAAUUCGAUGCAACGCGAGAACCUUACCAAGGCUUGACAUGGACGGACGCGCAGAAAUGUGGUUUCCCCUUUGGGGCGUUCACAGGUGGUGCAUGGUUGUCGUCAGCUCGUGUUCGUGAGAAUG
Molecule: ribosomal RNA, 1050 nt
Filed under: uncultured bacterium
Lineage: Bacteria
Description: bacterial SSU rRNA
Rfam family: Bacterial small subunit ribosomal RNA
Source: RNAcentral